This 263-nucleotide ribosomal RNA is filed under the name Paenibacillus sophorae. RNAcentral describes it as "23S rRNA. Bacterial LSU". It matches the Rfam family "Bacterial large subunit ribosomal RNA", at positions 2655 to 2925 of the family's 2925-position model. Lineage: Bacteria; Bacillati; Bacillota; Bacilli; Caryophanales; Paenibacillaceae. The record is from RNAcentral.
AGGAAAUUUGAGAGGAGCUGUCCUUAGUACGAGAGGACCGGGAUGGACGUACCGCUGGUGCACCAGUUGUUCCGCCAGGAGCAUGGCUGGGUAGCUACGUACGGACGGGAUAAGCGCUGAAAGCAUCUAAGCGUGAAGCCCCCCUCAAGAUGAGAUUUCCCAAGUUAGUAAGACCCCUUGAAGACGACGAGGUAGAUAGGUUGGAGGUGGAAGUGCUGCAAAGCAUGGAGCUGACCAAUACUAAUCGGUCGAGGGCUUAUCCA